RNAcentral lists this ribosomal RNA (490 nucleotides) under uncultured bacterium. RNAcentral describes it as "partial 16S ribosomal RNA". It matches the Rfam family "Bacterial small subunit ribosomal RNA", at positions 30 to 507 of the family's 1533-position model. The record is from RNAcentral.
AUUGAACGCUGGCGGCAGGCCUAACACAUGCAAGUCGAACGGUAACAGAAAGCAGCUUGCUGCUUUGCUGACGAGUGGCGGACGGGUGAGUAAUGUCUGGGAAACUGCCUGAUGGGGGGGGAUAACUACUGGAAACGGUAGCUAAUACCGCAUAACGUCGCAAGACCAAAGAGGGGGACCUUCGGGCCUCUUGCCAUCGGAUGUGCCCAGAUGGGAUUAGCUAGUAGGUGGGGUAACGGCUCACCUAGGCGACGAUCCCUAGCUGGUCUGAGAGGAUGACCAGCCACACUGUAACUGAGACACGGUCCAGACUCCUACGGGAGGCAGCAGUGGGGAAUAUUGCACAAUGGGCGCAAGCCUGAUGCAGCCAUGCCGCGUGUAUGAAGAAGGCCUUCGGGUUGUAAAGUACUUUCAGCGGGGAGGAAGGGAGUAAAGUUAAUACCUUUGCUCAUUGACGUUACCCGCAGAAGAAGCACCGGCUAACUCCGUG